This 397-nucleotide ribosomal RNA is filed under the name uncultured bacterium. RNAcentral's name for it is "partial 16S ribosomal RNA". It matches the Rfam family "Bacterial small subunit ribosomal RNA", at positions 523 to 918 of the family's 1533-position model. The record is from RNAcentral.
AUACGUAGGGGGCGAGCGUUGUCCGGAAUGAUUGGGCGUAAAGGGCGCGUAGGCGGCCCGGUAAGUCUGGAGUGAAAGUCCUGUUUUUAAGAUGGGAAUUGCUUUGGAUACUGUCGGGCUUGAGUGCAGGAGAGGUAAGUGGAACUCCCAGUGUAGCGGUGAAAUGCGUAGAGAUUGGGAGGAACACCAGUGGCGAAGGCGACUUACUGGACUGUAACUGACGCUGAGGCGCGAAAGUGUGGGGAGCAAACAGGAUUAGAUACCCUGGUAGUCCACACUGUAAACGAUGAAUGCUAGGUGUAGGGGGUAUCGACCCCUUCUGUGCCGCAGUCAACACAAUAAGCAUUCCGCCUGGGGAGUACGGCCGCAAGCUUGAAACUCAAAGGAAUUGACGGGG